CUUGUACUCCCUCCGUCCAGAAAUAAUUGUCAUUGAAAUGGAUGUAUCUAGAUGUAUUUUAGUUCUAGACACAUCCAUUUUGAUGACAAAUAAUUCUGGGCGGAGGGAGUACUUG
Non-coding RNA from Triticum aestivum (bread wheat), 115 nucleotides. The record is from Rfam. NCBI's taxonomy places the organism in Eukaryota, Viridiplantae, Streptophyta, Magnoliopsida, Poales, Poaceae.